Molecule: ribosomal RNA, 529 nt
Filed under: uncultured bacterium
Lineage: Bacteria
Description: bacterial SSU rRNA
Rfam family: Bacterial small subunit ribosomal RNA
Source: RNAcentral
AAUAGAUACCCAGGUAGUCCACGCCGUAAACGAUGAGUGCUAAGUGUUAGAGGGUUUCCGCCCUUUAGUGCUGCAGCUAACGCAUUAAGCACUCCGCCUGGGGAGUACGGCCGCAAGGCUGAAACUCAAAGGAAUUGACGGGGGCCCGCACAAGCGGUGGAGCAUGUGGUUUAAUUCGAAGCAACGCGAAGAACCUUACCAGGUCUUGACAUCCUCUGCCAACCCUAGAGAUAGGGCGUUCCCCUUCGGGGGACAGAGUGACAGGUGGUGCAUGGUUGUCGUCAGCUCGUGUCGUGAGAUGUUGGGUUAAGUCCCGCAACGAGCGCAACCCUUGAUCUUAGUUGCCAGCAUUCAGUUGGGCACUCUAAGGUGACUGCCGGUGACAAACCGGAGGAAGGUGGGGAUGACGUCAAAUCAUCAUGCCCCUUAUGACCUGGGCUACACACGUGCUACAAUAGAUGGUACAAAAGAGCUGCGAACCCGGCGAGGGUAAGCGAAUCUCAUAAAAGCCAUUCUCAGUUCGGAUUGU